UAUAAGGCAGCACCAUGCACAAGGAAAUAAGUCUGCAUAUAACUCAUCUCAAGGCUGGAUAUGAUUUGACUUCUGAGCUUCCUAAGGUCUCUCCUUGAAUGGAGAAGGAACUGUUUAUGAUGUUUGCAAUCUCCCAAGUAUAUUCAAGUAACUUUACUACUCCACCAAGGCUCUCCCUUAACAUUGCUCUAGAACUGCACACAUCAAGCUAUAUCUUGCCAGAGACUUCUGUCAGUGGCUACCAGGAUUGGCACAGAUUGUGCUCUUUCUUGCCUUAAUGAAAGAAAAGGAGCAGAAAAGCAUGUAGACAUGGAAGAUGAUUCAGGAGAUGAAGCUGCCCAAGGAGAUUAUGACUAUUAUAGAAGGUAUGGUGAUGUUCCAAGCCCUGGUAUUGGCCACUGAAGGCACAGUCGAGUUCUUGUCUCCUUGCAGCUGCUAUUUUUUUCCCCUUCUUUGCUAUACAUAUGUUUUUAUGUUAUUGUGUUAGUUCUCAUCUUCAUCAUGUUAUGCAUACAACUAUUUCUUUUCCUUUAUUUUUCCUGUGUUCAUAAAUUAGCAUUUCAGUAAGGAUUUUGGCUAGUCCAUGGUUUUAUAGUGGAGAUAUGACAAUAUUGAAAGUUUUAUCAAAAUAUUUUUUGGGACAUUUGAUCAAGUCCCCACCAA
Long non-coding RNA from Hevea brasiliensis (rubber tree), 663 nucleotides. RefSeq lists it as uncharacterized. The transcript is spliced from 2 exons. The record is from RefSeq and is a predicted model, not a curated record. Lineage: Eukaryota; Viridiplantae; Streptophyta; Magnoliopsida; Malpighiales; Euphorbiaceae.